GAGUUUGAUCCUGGCUCAGAUUGAACGCUGGCGGCAUGCCUAACACAUGCAAGUCGAACGGUAACGCGGGGGCAACCCUGGCGACGAGUGGCGGACGGGUGAGUAAUACGUAGGAAUCUGCCCAUUAGUGGGGGACAACCCGGCGAAAGCCGGGCUAAUACCGCAUACGCUCUACGGAGGAAAACGGGGGAUCGUAAGACCUCGUGCUAAUGGAUGAGCCUACGUCGGAUUAGCUAGUUGGUAGGGUAACGGCCUACCAAGGCGACGAUCCGUAGCUGGUCUGAGAGGACGAUCAGCCACACUGGGACUGAGACACGGCCCAGACUCCUACGGGAGGCAGCAGUGGGGAAUAUUGGACAAAUGGGGGCAACCCUGAUCCAGCAAUGCCGCGUGUGUGAAGAAGGCCUGCGGGUUGUAAAAGCACUUUCAGAGGGGAAGAAAAAAGCGGAGCUAACACCUCCGUUCUUGACGUUACCCUUAGAAGAAGCACCGGCUAAACUCCGUGCCAGCCGCCGCAGU
This 519-nucleotide ribosomal RNA is filed under the name uncultured Gammaproteobacteria bacterium. RNAcentral describes it as "bacterial SSU rRNA". It matches the Rfam family "Bacterial small subunit ribosomal RNA", at positions 9 to 521 of the family's 1533-position model. The record is from RNAcentral. Lineage: Bacteria; Pseudomonadati; Pseudomonadota; Gammaproteobacteria.